AGUGAACGCUGGCGGUAGGCCUAACACAUGCAAGUCGAACGGCAGCACAGGAGAGCUUGCUCUCUGGGUGGCGAGUGGCGGACGGGUGAGGAAUACAUCGGAAUCUACUCUGUCGUGGGGGAUAACGUAGGGAAACUUACGCUAAUACCGCAUACGACCUACGGGUGAAAGCAGGGGAUCUUCGGACCUUGCGCGAUUGAAUGAGCCGAUGUCGGAUUAGCUAGUUGGCGGGGUAAAGGCCCACCAAGGCGACGAUCCGUAGCUGGUCUGAGAGGAUGAUAAGCCACACUGGAACUGAGACACGGUGCAGACUCCUACGGGAGGCAGCAGUGGGGAAUAUUGGACAAUGGGCGCAAGCCUGAUCCAGCCAUACCGCGUGGGUGAAGAAGGCCUUCGGGUUGUAAAGCCCUUUUGUUGGGAAAGAAAUCCAGCUGGCUAAUACCCGGUUGGGAUGACGGUACCCAAAGAAUAAGCACCGGCUAACUUCGUGCCAGCCGCCGCCGUAA
This 506-nucleotide ribosomal RNA is filed under the name uncultured bacterium. RNAcentral's name for it is "partial 16S ribosomal RNA". It matches the Rfam family "Bacterial small subunit ribosomal RNA", at positions 29 to 523 of the family's 1533-position model. The record is from RNAcentral.